UACGGCGGUGGCAAGCGUUGUCCGGAAUUACUGGGUGUAAAGGGCGUGUAGGCGGGACUGCAAGUCAGAUGUGAAAUUCCCAGGCUCAACCCGGGGGCUGCAUCUGAAACUGUGGUUCUUGAGUGCUGGAGAGGAAAGCGGAAUUCCUAGUGUAGCGGUGAAAUGCGUAGAUAUUAGGAGGAACACCAGUGGCGAAGGCGGCUUUCUGGACAGUAACUGACGCUGAGGCGCGAAAGCGUGGGGAGCAAACAGG
This 253-nucleotide ribosomal RNA is filed under the name uncultured bacterium. RNAcentral's name for it is "partial 16S ribosomal RNA". It matches the Rfam family "Bacterial small subunit ribosomal RNA", at positions 524 to 776 of the family's 1533-position model. The record is from RNAcentral.